This 76-nucleotide transfer RNA is filed under the name Actinomycetota bacterium. RNAcentral describes it as "tRNA-Ile". It matches the Rfam family "tRNA". From Rfam's summary of the family: Transfer RNA (tRNA) molecules are approximately 80 nucleotides in length. Their secondary structure includes four short double-helical elements and three loops (D, anti-codon, and T loops). Further hydrogen bonds mediate the characteristic L-shaped molecular structure. tRNAs have two regions of fundamental functional importance: the anti-codon, which is responsible for specific mRNA codon recognition, and the 3' end, to which the tRNAs corresponding amino acid is attached (by aminoacyl-tRNA synthetases). tRNAs cope with the degeneracy of the genetic code in two manners: having more than one tRNA (with a specific anti-codon) for a particular amino acid; and 'wobble' base-pairing, i.e. permitting non-standard base-pairing at the 3rd anti-codon position. Lineage: Bacteria; Bacillati; Actinomycetota. The record is from RNAcentral.
GGGCCCAUAGCUCAGUUGGCAGAGCAGAGGACUCAUAAUCCUCGUGUCGCAGGUUCGAGUCCUGCUGGGCCCACCA